Gorilla gorilla gorilla (western lowland gorilla) is the source of this 1339-nucleotide long non-coding RNA. RefSeq lists it as uncharacterized. The record is from RefSeq and is a predicted model, not a curated record. NCBI's taxonomy places the organism in Eukaryota, Metazoa, Chordata, Mammalia, Primates, Hominidae. The transcript is spliced from 3 exons.
GUUUCCCUACGCAAGCUCUCUCUUUUUGUCUGCUGCCAUCCACAUAAGACAUGGCCAGCUAUUCCUUGCCUUCUGCCGUAAUUGUGAGGCCUCUCCAGCCAUAUGGAACUAGAAGAAAACUGAGGCAUAGAACAUUUGGGAAUGCAUCUAAGACUACACAUCUAGAAUAGCAGAGUGCAUAUCAUCGUCAUUCAUCUCACUUUUCCUUCUAACAUCAAGGAUCUAUACAAGGCCGUUGAUCCCCACUGCUGCAUAUUUCUUGGAUCUAUCUGAGGUCCCAGAUCCCAUUGCCUCUUCAUCCUCACAGCCACUGCUGGGUCUGGGUCCUCAUAAGUUCUAUCUGGAAGUUUCAAUACAGUCUUUCUCGAUGUGCUCCACACUGUUAUGGGAAUGAAUUUUCAAACACCCCUGCUUUGAAGAUAGGGUGCUUCCAGGGUAAGGCAUAAAGUUCUCCAGGGAGGCAACAGUGCAGUGGUAUACAGACAGCACAGCCUUUCAUUCCUGCGAGGCCACUUACACCUGAGUGAAGAUGGGAAGAAGAGAAGACAAGGACGAAUGUAGGAAACUGUCAGUUAAAUGACAAUGUAUGGAUGGCAAGAGAGAAAUAAUAGUCAGUGAUGGAAAAAUAAUAACAGCUUUGGGCUUUUGAGUUUGAAAAUGGUGUGUAGGGUGAGACAACAAUAGGAAACUUCUAAUAAAGAAUGAACAAGUAGUUCUACUUGUUCAAUGAAUGUGAAUCUGGUACUUACAUUUGAUCCUUAAAAUAUUCUCACUAAACUGGUAUCAUUUAAUGGAACUGUUUAAUGUUAUCCUGGGCAAGUUACUUACUCAAUUUGCCUUAGCAUCUCAUCUACAAAAUGUGGAUGAGUACCUACCCCCCAGGGUUAUGUCAAAAAUUAGAUAAGAUGAAAAGUAAGUUAUACUAUUAGAAUGUCACCCAAUACAUAGUUUGGAAUUUUUUAAAAUGUCAGCUAUUAUGAUGAUAACAGUGGUGGCUUACAAGACCUUUGACCAUCUGGCUUCCCUCUCCAAGCAUGCCAAAUUAAUUACACUUCUUAAACACAUCUCUUGACCAGGGUGUUCUCACCAUGCCCUUUCUACAAACAAAAAGUAAGUACUCUUCUCAUUCUUUAGAACCAAUUCUAAAUUCUCCCUCAUAUGAGAAUUUCCUUAUUAUUCCACCUGGUAUGAAUGAUUUCCACUUCCAGGGUCCCCAAGACUUUAAUAUCAUUUCUGGAGCAUAUGUGAUGAUACUGUAAUAAUUAUAAUGAUACUAUUAUGCUAUUGCAUAUUAUGGUAUUCAGUACAAACAAUUUCUUGAUGACAAGAAAAAUGCCCA